GACGAGGGAUCCUAGCGUUGUUCGGAAUUAUUGGGCGUAAAGCGGGUGUAGGUGGCUUGGUAAGUCAGGUGUGAAAGCCCAGGGCUUAACCCUGGAAGUGCAUUUGAUACUGCUGAGCUUGAGUGUAGGAGAGGUUAUUAGAAUUCUUGGUGUAGUGGUGAAAUACGUAGAUAUCAAGAGGAAUACCAGAGGCGAAGGCGGAUAACUGGCCUAACACUGACACUCAGACCCGAAAGCGUGGGGAUCAAACAGG
RNAcentral lists this ribosomal RNA (253 nucleotides) under uncultured bacterium. Its description in RNAcentral is "partial 16S ribosomal RNA". It matches the Rfam family "Bacterial small subunit ribosomal RNA", at positions 524 to 776 of the family's 1533-position model. The record is from RNAcentral.